AACGAACGCUGGCGGCAUGCCUAACACAUGCAAGUCGAACGAGACCUUCGGGUCUAGUGGCGCACGGGUGCGUAACGCGUGGGAACCUGCCCUUAGGUUCGGAAUAACUCCCCGAAAGGGGUGCUAAUACCGGAUAAUGUCUUCGGACCAAAGAUUUAUCGCCUUUGGAUGGGCCCGCGUUGGAUUAGCUAGUUGGUAGGGUAAAAGCCUACCAAGGCGACGAUCCAUAGCUGGUCUGAGAGGAUGAUGAGCCACACUGGGACUGAGACACGGCCCAGACUCCUACGGGAAGCAGCAGUGGGGAAUAUUGGACAAUGGGCGAAAGCCUGAUCCAGCAAUGCCGCGUGAGUGAUGAAGGCCUUAGGGUUGUAAAGCUCUUUUACCCGGGAUGAUAAUGACAGUACCGGGAGAAUAAGCUCCGGCUAACUCCGUG
RNAcentral lists this ribosomal RNA (433 nucleotides) under uncultured bacterium. RNAcentral's name for it is "partial 16S ribosomal RNA". It matches the Rfam family "Bacterial small subunit ribosomal RNA", at positions 29 to 507 of the family's 1533-position model. The record is from RNAcentral.